Molecule: long non-coding RNA, 3799 nt
Filed under: Equus caballus (horse)
Lineage: Eukaryota; Metazoa; Chordata; Mammalia; Perissodactyla; Equidae
Description: lncRNA (ENSECAG00000038420.2)
Source: RNAcentral
AGCAAACGGCAGGAUGACCAUGCCAGUUGCUCUGUCCCUUUUCCAAAGCUUUCCCAGAACUGUACCCAGAGACCCCACUCACAUCCCAGUGGCCAGACUGGAUCACAUGGCCAUUCCUACCUGCGAAGGAGGCUAAAAAAGGUGACCUUUCUAGUCUUCUGGCCUCUUCAAUAGAGGAAAGUAGAGAGAAGGGAGUUGUAAGUCUGCCCCUCCCCCACCCCGGGCGCUAAGAGAUGGGGGGUAACUCUGCAAAGCUGUCCUUCUGCCUCAAAGAUCAUUCCGCAGACACUGCUCUCUCCGUUAGAGUGUGCGGGGAAUAUUGGAAGAAAGGAAGGAUCCUUGCCCCUCCCCCAUUCACAGCAGAGCAGAACAGCAGGUUUGUCUGUUCAAAAACACAUGCCUUGGGAGUUGCUUCACUCGGGGUCAAACCUGUCUUCUCAGCAGCAAAGAUGAAGAAUUAGGAAAAACCUGGGAUUAAAAGGAGCAAGAGAGAACAUUGUCUUUAGAGGGAGUGGGCAAGAACGACCCAAGCUUCUAGGCUCUAAUCUGGGAGGCACAGAGGAUCGGGAAGGAUCUGAAAAACUGACACUGAACCUUCGCGAAGCAGAGAGAGAAGCUGGGGAGUUGGGAGGAGUCCACAGAAGUGAAAAGCUCCUGACCUCUGAGCCUCAGUCCCCACGUCCCUGAAAUAAGAAUAAGAACCAUACUUGCUCUGCCCAUUUCAAAGAGGUGGUGUGAGGAUUAAAGGAAAUGGUUAUAUCAUAUUAAGACCUAGGAGACGACAUCUGAUCCAGAAAUCUGUAAACGUAGGAAAAUACAGUCUCUCGUCCAAAGAAUCGCACUCCGGUGUUUCUUCCAAUUCGCCAAGCAUCUACCUUGUGCUGGAGCAGUUUCAUUAAGUCAUAUGGUCUUAGAGCUUAAGAAGUCUUUGAGACAUUUAAGUUUAAUCUUCUCGUCUUUUUAAUUGAGAUAAAACUCACACAACAUAAAACUCUUAACCAUUUUUUUUUCUUUUUGAGGAAGAUUAGCCUUGAGCUAACAUCUGCCACAAAUCCUCCUCUUUUUGCUGAGGAAGCCUGGCCCUGAGCCAACGUCCGUGCCCAUCUUCCUCUACUUUAUAUGUGGGACGCCUACGACAGCAUGGCUUGCCAAGCGAUGCCAUGUCCGCACCCUGGAUCUGAGUUGGCAAACCCUGGGCCGCCAAAGCGGAAGGUGCGAACCUAACCGCUGCUCCGCCAGGCUGGCCCCACUCUUAACCAUUUUAAAGUGUACAAUUCACUGGUUUUUGAGUAUAUUCACAAUGUUGUGCAACCAUCACUACUAUCUAGUUCAGAACAUUUUUAUCGUCUCAAAGAGAAACCCCGCUCCAACCGAGCAGCCACUCCCCAUUUCUCCCUCCCCCGCCGCUGUCAAACACGGAUGUCCUUUCUGUCUCCAUGGAUUUGCCUGUUUGCGAUGUUUCAUGUAAAGGGAACAUGACAAUACGUGCCCUUUGCCUCUGCCUUCUCUCAGCAGCAUGUUUCAGAGGCUCACCCAUGCGGCAGUGCACGUCCUUUCACGGCUUCAUCCCUGUCUACGGCUGAACAUACCUGUUGUGUGGACAUGCCACAUUUUUGCAUUCAUUUUCUUCAUUCACCAGUUGAUGGACAAUGAGUUGUUUCCACUUUUUGGCCAUUAGGAAUAACACUGCAGUGAGCAUUCACCUACAAGUUUUUGUUUGGACGUGUUUUCUGUUCUCUUGGGCGUGGAAUUCCUGGGUUAUACGGUAACUCAAUGUUUAACUUUCUGGGAGAUGCUUUUCCACAGCGGCUGCACCCUUUCACGUUCCCGCCAGCAAUGUCCAAGGGAAGCGCCUUAACCUUAAAAUGCAGUUUCCGUGGCCAGGAGGAUGAGUGACUUGCACGACGUCCCAACAGAACUAGAACCACAAGCAAGACUCCCGACGUUGUGCCGGUGCUCCUGUUACCAACAGCCCUGCUGAGAGGCCAAGGGGAGAUGCCGUGACCCAGCUUCUGGAAGGUCUACUCCACUAAAGUGAACUCUUCCAAUAACACGCUGGUUUUAACACAAACGCUCAGAACAGUAAGACCACUGGUUAAGCCCAUUUUUAAGGCACUUUUCUGAGAGAUAAGCCUUGACUCUUUCCCCUUCUUCCUAGACCUUGUUCUAUUUCACGCCCAUGUCAUUCCUUACCCAGGCCUUCAGGAAGGCAGCCCCAGCUCUCCCUGCCUCCUGUUUCCCCCGCUGCCCUGACAGCUGUAGCCUGCUGUCCCCAGCCAACCGUCCACCCAAAGAGCAGGCACAUGGUUCUUCUGCUGUGAUGACAUCCGUGAUUUCUCAGAGUCCAAACCUUCCCAACUCGGGCCCCACUGCCCUUUCCAGCUACUAUCCACACCCCCAACUCACUUUGUGCUCAAGCCAAGGUCAAAAGAACUGACCAUCUCAACGUGCCCAGUAUCUUCCUGCUUUCAUGAUUUUUCCAAAUUAGUGUUAAUCCAAAAAACAAUACUGGGAGCCUCCUCUGUGCCAGCCCGGGGGUUCAAAUGAGCACAUUUCCUGCCUUCAAAGAUUGAACUCGCAGCUAAGUAGCGAAGCUCCCGCUGAGCAAAUAACAAGAGGGCCUCCAGCCGGCCGCUGAAUGCCAGCAUUCAGAGGACGCCCCGUAGCCCAGAUUCAGUGCCCUCUGCGCGAACUGCCACUAAGGUGCAGAUUUGGGUUCAGUAGGUCUUGGGUGGAGGUGAGAUUGUGCAUUUCAGCAGGCUCCCAGGUGCAUGCCACAGACCACAAACUGAGCAGCACGUAAUCAGCACACAGACUUGUUGGCCGGACAAGAACUGCUCCUGGAACACACACUUAUGGAGCACACCCUUCCCCUGCUGCCUGGUGCUCGUGAAAGGACUUCUCGUCUCGUGGCAUGGGGUCCGCAGUGAAGGGGAGGAAAAUGCUCCUUGACUAAACCCCUUAUCUUCUGUGGAAAUGCACACCUUUGUCGAGGCAGAAUGGCAAGCAAGUCCAGAUCCUUUGGAUGGACACUGAGUAACAGGGCAAAGAACCAAUCUGUCCGCAGUGUAUUAACGAAUGUCCUUGGGAGGCAGAGGGCCCCUGAGUAAUUGAUGAAUGGGGCCGCUCGGUGUUUGCCGCAGCUCUGGCCGAUGCUGCUCAUUAUGGGAGAUGAUUCCCUCUGUUCUGUGGAACAAAUUGUUCCAAGGUCUAACUGCGCUUCCCUUGCCAUUUUUUUUUAAUAAAAAGAAUGCACCUGUGGAAUUCAUAUGCAUGCAGUUGUGUCCAGAAUAGAAAUGAGAGAAUUAAUUCACGUCCCAUGGCUCAUCAUAGAGCAGCCUCAGAGGACCCUGUGAAUGAGCUUGGCUUUAGGAACCACUUCUUUCCUCCGAGAGGAGGAGAGAUACAGACAGUCAAGGCUCUGCUGGCUGCAAAGAUUUCAAGAGCAGGAUGAAUUAAAAUGAGACCGUCUUCCCCAAUAAGGCUUGUUAUUUGCUAGGUUUGGCACAGGGACAAUUGGUAUUGAAAUUGUAUGCCUACAUUUUAGACUGUGCAUCUGGGAGCUAAUUCAGUGUGUCCAGGUCCUGGUAGCCAUGUGUUUCUAAGUGCUUAGGGUUGCCUUGUGAAAACUGGGUCCAGAGAACAGUUUGAUUUGGCUCUCAAAGUGUGAGGGCUUAACCAGCACAUGUCAAGCUGCUGUGGCUCCCUCAUAUCCCUUCUCUGUCCCCCAAUUUGGACAUUUCUCUGUUUCACCUUUCCAAUUUAUGAUUUCGAUGAAAAGAUGCCUAUUUGUUUUGAG